GCCCUUGAUGGAUUUGUCAAUAAUACUUAGCAGGGGAGGGGGCCCGCUCACAUAACCCUCGCAGGUCUGCAGUCCCUGAGCAGUUUGGUGUGAUUUAAUUGUCUGAAGACGCGUGUGCUGCUGCAUAUAUGCAGGGACUAAGCAGUGGUCGCAGGGAAGGGGGAGUCGGCGGUCCGGCCGGCUGCGUUCGGGAAAACAGCACCGGGGAUAACAGGUAGCCGGAGCCGUGGCCGGGUUGGUGUUACAUUAACCAAGUCGCUGUGUAAGUAAGAAAUAACCUGGAGCCUCUCAGAUUAAGAAUUUAUUAGCUACAAAAUUUUAAUACAUUACUCAUGAGUGGAAAUGGAGUUGCGUAUUAAUCCCCCCAAGGCUCACACUCCACGGCAACAUUUCUAGACACCUGCUUACAGACUGUAGAUGUUCGCCAAGAAAAGUCCGUCAGGGAGUUCGCUCGACCCCACUCCCAUUUUCUCUUCCUACGGAACAUCAAUGCGUGUAAACAUGACUUCAUAGCGGCUGCACUCUUCAUACGUCCUGUCCUUUCUCAGCCACAAGGCACAGCGCGAUAGGCAGGCGACGAAAAUGUUACACCGCUAAGAGAAUUCAUGCCCGGGGAAGAGCGUUUCCAGAAUGCGCGCAGACCCACGUGCAACCACACCAUCCAGUAUCAAACCACACGGAUCGUUCCUUUGUGCGCCAGGAAAUCAAAGCUUCCCAAAGCAUUGCAAAGCGGUCGUACGCACCAGCAACGAACAGAUUAAUUAAACGAAAUGAAGACCCGGGUGGCCAAAGAAAAGAGGAACGCUAUUUAAACACCAAAUUGUAUUUACUUUUUGCUUAUUAUUAUUGUAAGGAACACAUGGCAUGGAACAUUCACACG
Molecule: long non-coding RNA, 880 nt
Filed under: Felis catus (domestic cat)
Lineage: Eukaryota; Metazoa; Chordata; Mammalia; Carnivora; Felidae
Description: lncRNA (ENSFCAG00000045188.2)
Source: RNAcentral